RNAcentral lists this ribosomal RNA (371 nucleotides) under uncultured bacterium. RNAcentral describes it as "bacterial SSU rRNA". It matches the Rfam family "Bacterial small subunit ribosomal RNA", at positions 28 to 416 of the family's 1533-position model. The record is from RNAcentral.
GAUGAACGCUAGCGGCAGGCCUAAUACAUGCAAGUCGAACGGGAUCCAGGCUUCGGCCUGGUGAGAGUGGCGGACGGGUGAGUAACACGUGGGAACCUGCCUUUUGGUUCGGGAUAACCGCGGGAAACUGCGGCUAAUACCGGAUGCUCCCGAGAGGGGAAAGAUUUAUCGCCAGAAGAGGGGCCCGCGUCCGAUUAGGUAGUUGGUGAGGUAAUGGCUCACCAAGCCGACGAUCGGUAGCUGGUCUGAGAGGAUGAUCAGCCACACUGGGACUGAGAUACGGCCCAGACUCCUACGGGAGGCAGCAGUGGGGAAUAUUGGACAAUGGGGGCGAACCCUGAUCCAGCAAUGCCGCGUGAGUGAUGAAGGCC